This 253-nucleotide ribosomal RNA is filed under the name uncultured bacterium. RNAcentral describes it as "partial 16S ribosomal RNA". It matches the Rfam family "Bacterial small subunit ribosomal RNA", at positions 524 to 776 of the family's 1533-position model. The record is from RNAcentral.
GACAGAGGGUGCAAACGUUGUUCGGAAUUACUGGGCGUAAAGCGCGUGUAGGCGGCUAAGUAAGUCGGGCGUGAAAUCCCACGGCUCAACCGUGGAAGUGCACUCGAAACUGCAUAGCUAGAGUCCUGGAGAGGAAGGUGGAAUGCUUGGUGUAGAGGUGAAAUUCGUAGAUAUCAAGCGGAACACCAGUGGCGAAGGCGACUUACUGGACACAUAUUGACGCUGAGGUGCGAAAGCGUGGGGAGCAAACAGG